UAGGCGGCAGGAGAUCAGAAGCGAACGUCCAACUUGGAGUUAGUACAACUGGGGUCAGGUCCAAAGCAAACUGCCUGAUUAGCGAAACAAUUUGUAUUUUACAAUGACAGCAAAUAGGUAAAUCUUGCGAGACUCAGGAAAUCCUAGAGGACCGUGAAUGCGAGCACUGCCUGCUUCGCAGGUUGCACGUUGAUACGGAGGUGUCAUUGCCUCUGCUUUUUCGUGCUCCUAUUCCAGGGAUAUAAACAAGAGGGACUCAAUUUGCUAAGGUUACUUUUUUUCUCCCUCUCCCUCUUGUUUUUACAAUCUACAUGUAAAGACUAAUUGGCUGUGUUUUUCCCAGCUAUUUUAUGCUUCUCUUGCUCUGGUUACAAGUCGUACUAAACCAGUAUAUCCACGGGGACCUAUAGACAGCCAGCAUUUCCAAACGACAUGCAGCAUGCCCCUUUCUUUUUAAGUGUAAAACAUUUACAAGUAAAUUUACAAACGCAUUAAGAACAUUUCCCCGGCUGGCUGUUAGUGUUUAUUUCUUCCCCUUCUCCUCCUGGGAGCUGACACCUCCCAGCCCUCACCUUUCGCACGCUGCUCCCCCGUUACUUUGCCUCCUUCCCUCCCCGCCGCCCCUCUCCCUCCUCCUUUCCCAGUUCAGCAGCGGAGAUUUCUGUUUGUGCCAGUGGGGCGGCCUGGCGAGACCGCAAUUGCUCUACCCCACAGAUUGACGAGCCCUCAGAUGCCGAUUUACUGUACAUGGCAGCCACGCUGGAGCCGAGGCACAUCUGGAGUGGAGUCUCAACACAGUGGGAUUUUUAAGGCUACACAACUUUGGACCUACGUGCAAGUUCAAGUAACAGCAAAACCCGUGGAACUUGUGUUCACAAACUGUUUAUUCUAGUGGGUUUUGUACUCUGUGACCAUCAUCCAGAAACAAAGAGAGAAGAGCACUCUGAAAAUUGGAGAUCUGAGGGUUUAAAAAGUGUACCAGUAGGUGUUAGUCUGCAAAAAUAUGCGUGGGAGAAAAGGACAGUGAAACUAAGCCACCUAUUAAUACUGUACUUUAAAGGGCAAUAGAUGCCUUUAUCAUUAAAAUAAACUGAGAAAUCUGCCUAAAAGUAAAGAAGGA
Molecule: long non-coding RNA, 1120 nt
Filed under: Anser brachyrhynchus (Pink-footed goose)
Lineage: Eukaryota; Metazoa; Chordata; Aves; Anseriformes; Anatidae
Description: lncRNA (ENSABRG00000012627.1)
Source: RNAcentral